GCGCGAAACCUUCGCAAUGCGCGAAAGCGUGACGAGGUUAAUCCGAGUGGUCCCCGCUGAGGGGAUCUUUUCUUGGCUCUAAAACGGCCAGGGAAUAAGGGGAGGGCAAGUCUGGUGU
Molecule: ribosomal RNA, 118 nt
Filed under: uncultured archaeon
Lineage: Archaea
Description: partial 16S ribosomal RNA
Rfam family: Archaeal small subunit ribosomal RNA
Source: RNAcentral